UGGCCAUUGGCUCUAAAAACUAAAUGAACUGCCCGGUAACCAAACUGUUGAUCCCACCAAGUCAUAAAUGAAUUGGGACAACUAUGGAGAAGCUCAAAUGGUAAAGAUAAGAAUAAAUAUGGAAAAUGACCUGAAGGGUCAUUACAAUAUCCACUACUAAAAGGACUUCCGUCCUUGAAAGUUAAUGGAUAGAAAGAAUCUCAAAAGCUCAAAGGAAAGAGGAACUGGGCCC
This 232-nucleotide long non-coding RNA is filed under the name Capsicum annuum. Its description in RNAcentral is "long non-coding RNA (CANN_LNC010088)". Lineage: Eukaryota; Viridiplantae; Streptophyta; Magnoliopsida; Solanales; Solanaceae. The record is from RNAcentral.